GAGUUUAUCUUGGCUCAGAUUGAACGCUGGCGGCAUGCCUUACACAUGCAAGUCGAACGGCAGCACGGGAGCUUGCUCCUGGUGGCGAGUGGCGAACGGGUGAGUAAUGCAUCGGAACGUAUCCUGGAGUGGGGGAUAACGUAGCGAAAGUUACGCUAAUACCGCAUAUUCUGUGAGCAGGAAAGCGGGGGACCUUCGGGCCUCGCGCUCUUGGAGCGGCCGAUGUCGGAUUAGCUAGUUGGUGAGGUAAAGGCUCACCAAGGCGACGAUCCGUAGCAGGUCUGAGAGGAUGAUCUGCCACACUGGAACUGAGACACGGUCCAGACUCCUACGGGAGGCAGCAGUGGGGAAUUUUGGACAAUGGGGGCAACCCUGAUCCAGCCAUGCCGCGUGAGUGAAGAAGGCCUCGGUUGUAAGU
Molecule: ribosomal RNA, 418 nt
Filed under: bacterium enrichment culture clone ALO1_GLFRUDD03G1T87
Lineage: Bacteria
Description: bacterial SSU rRNA
Rfam family: Bacterial small subunit ribosomal RNA
Source: RNAcentral